UGAGUAACGCGUGGGUAACCUGCCUCAUACAGGGCGGAUAACAGUUAGAAAUGACUGCUAAUACCGCAUAAGACCACGGAGCCGCAUGGCUCAGUGGGAAAAACUCCGGUGGUAUGAGAUGGACCCGCGUCUGAUUAGGUAGUUGGUGGGGUAACGGCCUACCAAGCCAACGAUCAGUAGCCGACCUGAGAGGGUGACCGGCCACAUUGGGACUGAGACACGGCCCAAACUCCUACGGGAGGCAGCAGUGGGGAAUAUUGCACAAUGGGGGAAACCCUGAUGCAGCGACGCCGCGUGAGCGAAGAAGUAUUUCGGUAUGUAAAGCUCUAUCAGCAGGGAAGAUAGUGACGGUACCUGACUAAGAAGCUCCGGCUAAAUACGUGCCAGCAGCCGCGGUAAUACGUAUGGAGCAAGCGUUAUCCGGAUUUACUGGGUGUAAAGGGAGUGUAGGUGGCCAGGCAAGUCAGAAGUGAAGGCCCGGGGCUCAACCCCGGGACUGCUUUUGAAACUGCAGGGCUAGAGUGCAGGAGGGGCAAGUGGAAUUCCUAGUGUAGCGGUGAAAUGCGUAGAUAUUAGGAGGAACACCAGUGGCGAAGGCGGCUUGCUGGACUGUAACUGACACUGAGGCUCGAAAGCGUGGGGAGCAAACAGGAUUAGAUACCCUGGUAGUC
Molecule: ribosomal RNA, 671 nt
Filed under: uncultured bacterium
Lineage: Bacteria
Description: bacterial SSU rRNA
Rfam family: Bacterial small subunit ribosomal RNA
Source: RNAcentral